GGGCCCUAAGGGUGUUUUUUCCUCAGCCAGUGGAUGAGGUUUUAGCGCUACAGGAAAGGAUCAUGCAUUGGGUUAGGUAACCCUACCUGCCCAUAGACGAUAAACGACAGUUGAAGCGCAUGCUUGCUGCUGCGAUAAUAAAAUACUUUGACAACAGGGUUCACAAGGUCAGGCGAUGGUUGCCUUACUUGCUAAUAUUGAUUAAUAACUCUUUGAUUGUGUCGAUCUCUGUUCCGAACUUGUUCAUUGGUGUUGUCCAUCUUGAUCUUGAUCAUCGAACUCAUGGCUCACAUCGACUCUAGAUCCUACCUGGAGGAACCAAAAACACCAAAACCAAGGAAAACGACAAUCAACCAUGGCAUCGAUGCAAUGCACGAACAAUACGAUGACAUGAAUUAACCCUACGACAUGCCAAUCAUAUUAAUUAGGAUUGGAAUUCUUAAUUAUAGCAUUUCCAUAAAACCAUAAACAAUAACAAAAAUUGAUUUAAUUAAUUGAAUUCCUAAAUACGCUCAAAAUUCAAGUUAUUCAAAUGUGCAUGAAAAUGAUACUGAAAUAUAGAGCUUAAACGACAUAACAUUGUGAUAUAUAAAACACAUUUUUUUUGAAUUACAGAAUAAAAGUUAUGGAAUUUACAAGACUGAAACAAAAUCUAGAAUUUCUGGAAAUUAACAGAACGGGGUCAAUCGUUGUGGUACAUAGCAGUGGUGCCCAGGGUCACUGACCCCUGGGUCAGCGUGCCACGCAAGCAGACCACGGGCCCGGGUCAACGGUCAGGCGGAGGACCCGCCAGGCCAGGUCAUCCCCGGCGACCGGCCGGUGACGGACGCCAGCGACGGCGGAGCAGACCACCGGGGAACGCGCGAAGUGGCGUGGUCGAAGCACGGGCUCGUGCCGAACCUAGCUAGGGCGGCGCUGCUACUUCUGAGUCGCCGGAACGACGCCGGCGACAAGCAUCUGAGGCGGCGCACGGCGCGGUGAUGUUCCAGGACGCGGUUGAGAGAGAGGAAGGGCUGGGGAGGUUUGCCUGCUCACCAGGAGUGCGACGGAAGGAUCGGGGAGGCCGGAGGAGCAGCGGCGGCAGCGCCAUGGUCGACGGCACGGCGGCCAGAGCUCGGGAAGACGGCGUCGCGGUCAUCGACGGCAGCCGUGGCCCGUGGCAGACGGCGGAGAAGGAGGGUUCGCGGUGCUCGACUCUGGCCGCGCCUCCUCGAUUCCUUCGCUGGGGUGAGAGAGUUGACUACGGCN
This 1248-nucleotide long non-coding RNA is filed under the name Triticum aestivum (bread wheat). Its description in RNAcentral is "long non-coding RNA (TAES_LNC019080)". Lineage: Eukaryota; Viridiplantae; Streptophyta; Magnoliopsida; Poales; Poaceae. The record is from RNAcentral.